GGAUGUGAGGGCGAUCAGGCUGCGACAUCUGUCACCCCAUUGAUCGCCAGGGUUGAUUCGGCUGAUCUGGCUGGCUAGGCGGGUGUCCCCUUCCUCCCUCACCGCUCCAUGUGCGUCCCUCCCGAAGCUGCGCGCUCGGUCGAAGAGGACGACCAUCCCCGAUAGAGGAGGACCGUUCUUCGGUCAAGGGUGUACGAGUAGCUGCGCUCCCCUGCUAGAACCUCCAAACAAGCUCUCAUAAAAACAAUGCCUAGCAUGUCGUCAAAAGUAAUAGACCUAAAAGGAAGCAAGAAUCCACGGGUGACAUAAAGCAAGAACAAGAGAUAAAAUUCUGACAACUCAGAUGAUUUAACUAU
RNAcentral lists this small nuclear RNA (356 nucleotides) under Castor canadensis (American beaver). RNAcentral's name for it is "7SK RNA (ENSCCNG00000027903.1)". The stretch from base 1 to 283 matches the Rfam family "7SK RNA". From Rfam's summary of the family: 7SK was discovered as an abundant small nuclear RNA in the mid-70s but a possible function has only recently been suggested. The record is from RNAcentral. Lineage: Eukaryota; Metazoa; Chordata; Mammalia; Rodentia; Castoridae.